GCCCGGCUGGCGUAAUGGUUAACGCGUAAGACUUCUACGUAAAGCAGUAAUCUUAAGAUUGCGAGUUCGAGUCUCGCGUUGGGUU
Molecule: transfer RNA, 85 nt
Filed under: Xylaria palmicola
Lineage: Eukaryota; Fungi; Ascomycota; Sordariomycetes; Xylariales; Xylariaceae
Description: tRNA-Arg
Rfam family: tRNA
About the family: Transfer RNA (tRNA) molecules are approximately 80 nucleotides in length. Their secondary structure includes four short double-helical elements and three loops (D, anti-codon, and T loops).
Source: RNAcentral